Salvia splendens (bonfire salvia) is the source of this 274-nucleotide long non-coding RNA. RefSeq lists it as uncharacterized. NCBI's taxonomy places the organism in Eukaryota, Viridiplantae, Streptophyta, Magnoliopsida, Lamiales, Lamiaceae. The transcript has 2 exons. The record is from RefSeq and is a predicted model, not a curated record.
CCCAUCUCCACCCAAUCCGUCUUUAGAUAGAGUUUCCUCGACUCUUGAUAGCAUCAGCCUUACCGUCACCCUGGAUCUACUCCGACUGCACAAUCUCAUGGUGUAAGAAGAUCGGACAACAUAAUUCGUGUUUAUUAAUUCAAGAGACGUAGGAAGAGGAGGUUCAUUGUGGAAGUUGUGGCAUGGUGCAAAAGAAAUAGGGAAUGAUGGUGUAAUGAAAAGUUAUGGCAUGACAGCUAUUGCGAAAUGCUCUUAUGGAAUUAUUCCCAAGGUA